UACGGAGGUCUCAAGCGUUGUUCGGAUUCAUUGGGCGUAAAGGGUGCGUAGGCGGCGCGGUAAGUCGGGUGUGAAAUCUCGGAGCUUAACUCCGAAACUGCAUUCGAUACUGCCGUGCUUGAGGACGGGAGAGGAGAGUGGAAUUUACGGUGUAGCGGUGAAAUGCGUAGAUAUCGUAAGGAAGACCAGUGGCGAAGGCGGGUCUCUGGACAGUUCCUGACGCUGAGGCACGAAGGUCAGGGGAGCAAACGGG
This 253-nucleotide ribosomal RNA is filed under the name uncultured bacterium. RNAcentral's name for it is "partial 16S ribosomal RNA". It matches the Rfam family "Bacterial small subunit ribosomal RNA", at positions 524 to 776 of the family's 1533-position model. The record is from RNAcentral.